Molecule: transfer RNA, 71 nt
Filed under: Loxodonta africana (African savanna elephant)
Lineage: Eukaryota; Metazoa; Chordata; Mammalia; Proboscidea; Elephantidae
Rfam family: tRNA
About the family: Transfer RNA (tRNA) molecules are approximately 80 nucleotides in length. Their secondary structure includes four short double-helical elements and three loops (D, anti-codon, and T loops).
Source: Rfam by way of RNAcentral
GCAGCGGUAGUUCAGUGAUAGAAUUCUCACCUUCCAUGUGGGGGACCUGGGUUUGAUUCCUGGCCAGUACA